GGACUACCCGGGUAUCUAAUCCCGUUUGCUCCCCUGGCUUUCGUGUCUCAGUGUCAGCACAACCCCAGCUAUCUGUUUUCACCAUUGGCGUUCCAAGUGAUAUCUACGCAUUUCACCGCUCCACCACUUGUUCCGAUAGCCCCUAGUUGGCUCAAGAAACGCAGUAUACCAAGCAGUUCCACGGUUAAGCCGUGGGAUUUCACAAGGUACUUACGCUUCCACCUACACACGCUUUAAGCCCAGUGAUUCCGCCUAACGCUUGGCACCUCUGUCUUACCGCGGCUGCUGGCAC
This 292-nucleotide ribosomal RNA is filed under the name uncultured bacterium. RNAcentral's name for it is "partial 16S ribosomal RNA". The record is from RNAcentral.